Molecule: transfer RNA, 70 nt
Filed under: Ictidomys tridecemlineatus (thirteen-lined ground squirrel)
Lineage: Eukaryota; Metazoa; Chordata; Mammalia; Rodentia; Sciuridae
Description: Spermophilus tridecemlineatus (thirteen-lined ground squirrel) tRNA
Rfam family: tRNA
About the family: Transfer RNA (tRNA) molecules are approximately 80 nucleotides in length. Their secondary structure includes four short double-helical elements and three loops (D, anti-codon, and T loops).
Source: Rfam by way of RNAcentral
GGGAAUGUGGCUCAAGGGGUAUAGCGCUUGCUUAGCAUGCAUGAGGCACUGGGUUCGAUUCUCAGCACCA